UACGUAGGGGGCAAGCGUUGUCCGGAUUUAUUGGGCGUAAAGCGCGUGUAGGCGGCCAUGCAGGUCCGUUGUGAAAACUCGAGGCUCAACCUCGAGACGCCGAUGGAAACCGCAUGGCUAGAGUCCGGAAGAGGAGAGUGGAAUUCCUGGUGUAGCGGUGAAAUGCGCAGAUAUCAGGAAGAACACCCGUGGCGAAGGCGGCUCUCUAGUACGGUACUGACGCUGAGACGCGAAAGCGUGGGGAGCGAACAGG
Molecule: ribosomal RNA, 253 nt
Filed under: uncultured bacterium
Lineage: Bacteria
Description: partial 16S ribosomal RNA
Rfam family: Bacterial small subunit ribosomal RNA
Source: RNAcentral